UGUGUGUGUGUGUGUGUGUGUGUGUGUGUGUGUGUGUUUGAGAGCUAAUCAAUUAGUGUAUUAAAGCAAAUGGGGCUUGGAUUCGAUAGAUUCAAGUUUCUGUUGUAUGAAUGUUUCUUUGAGGCAGACUUCUACCUUUUUAAAGUGUGUAGACCAGCAGAUUUUCUCAGCUAAGUUUCAUAAGUGAUCUUACACAGCUAAGAACAAAACCUUAGACAAAACAUGCAAAACAAUAGUGACUCUGUUUCAUGCUUUGGUUCUGGUGAGCUGACAUUCUGCACACCAACCCAGGUUGAAUUCAGAUGUGAUUUGCCUGAGUAUAUUCUCGCCAUUUUCCUUGCCUGUCCUGUUCCAGGGAUUUUCUGGCUUUUUUUAACAGGGAAUCCUUAAAGCAGUUAGCCUAUGUGCAGAAAACGCAAAAUAACCUUAAGUUCUAGUGACUAUCAAGCUAUGUUGAAGUUCAAUAUGGUUUAACGGGUUUCCAGAUACUUUACUUUUUAUGAGAUGAUAAGCAGAACAGAAUUUGCCACAGUAGGUUACACCUAAUGUGGAGUUUGCUUUGGUAAAUGGUGCAUACGUCCAGGGGCGUAGCACAAAAUUCUGGGCCCUGUAGAAGGCAUUUUCUAUAGGCCCCUCUCUGCAUCCACAGCUGUUCAUUCUAGUAUAUUUUUGGGCCCACCUCACAUGAGGGCCCUGGGUACUCCUGCCCCCCCCCCCCCCAGUCCACCCCCCCUGCAUACAUCGACAAACAUUUAACAUUAGAAAAAAUAAACAAAUACAGAAACAAAGAUUUAGGUUUCCCUACACUGUGGAAUAUCUAGUGAUGAUCUACCAAAACUAGACUGUAUUUCAAAUUUUAAGUUUUGUUUUAAAUAUAAAGAACUUUGCAUAAUUGCCUCAUAACUCAUCUCUCUAAUCACAAACCCGUCUUUAACAGAGCCCAGUUUCUGCACAAGGAGAGUUGUUCUUUUUCCAUUAUAGGAAAAAAGUAAAGUAGCAAUUUAGACCUUUUGGUAAAUGUAAAAACAUUACAUUUUAUUGAUUUUAUAGCAAAUGCCUGAAAACUGGGGUCUGCCUCUAGGAAUUUUGUGUAAAACUCUUAUCAGCUGGACAUCAGAGAUUAUGUGAGUCCCUGGAUGCGUGUUUGUGUACAGAUGUAAAUAUUGUGUGAUAUUUUGUUUUUAUCUGGGUCUGUAGCUGUCAAUGAACUCUUCAUCUUAAUUUUCCCUCAGCCAGAUGUUGAACUUCUGAGACCAUUUACCGAUCAUGGCCUACUGCUAACAGUACAAGCCUUUCAGAAAGUUAGUUGACAGCUAUGUUGUAAAGUUUAAGGGUGUAAAAUUGCCACCUUUUCCUUCGUGAGUUUAAAAGUACUCCAUUUUAAAAACACUGCUCCUCACAAAUCCGGCUUUGAUUUUGUUGGCAGCAGCACCCCAGCCUCUCGCUGUGCUGUUGGCUCAUUCAUCUUAAUCGUUCUCCAAACGGUGCAUUGAAAGCUUCCCGAGCGGUUGGUAUUCUCAGGCGUUCUUGUCAUGUUGGAUAAGCUGCAGACCUGGAAAACAAUAAGGCACAUCAGCAGAACCAAACAGCAGAAAUGUGAGAUUUUGUUUAUUUUCAAAUGUCUUGAACCGUUUGUAAUGAACAGUGCAGCAAAUCCUGCACGCAAACCAAAAUUAUCUUUUAUAUUGGACCAAAGGAGAGCUGGAUGAAUCAGUGACUAUAACUGAUUGAGCUUGAAGCUUAAUUUAGGAAAUAGUUUGAUUAAACGUUCUUAACUUAAAGGGAUAGCUCGGAUGUUUUGACGUGGGGAACAUUAGAAAACACUGUGAGGAAGGUUAGAUCCAUCUCCUGACAUGAAAUGCUGUAAACUGUUGAUGGCUCUUAUUUUACACGAGGUCGUAGAUGGAGCAAUCUCUCUUUAAAUUGUAUCAAACAAGUUUCUCAGCUGAGUCCAGUUUUCAAGGAAAUGUAGAUGUUUAAAUGUCCAUUUAAAAAAGGCUUUGGAUUCGAUCUUUUCAAGUGUGUUUGUAUGAGCUUCUUCUCCAUAGCCAGUGUAAGCUACAGUAGACGGCAAUAAGUAAUGUCCUGCUGUGGACGGGGGAUGGGGGGGGGGGCUAAAAGAAAUCUAUAUUUAGAAAAUGCUGUACCUUGCCGUCAGACAGCCCUUUACAACAGGGAACUGAAGCCGUUAUCUCCGCUCUCUUCAAAGCCACCGGACUCCUUUGACUCAUUUUACCUCUCAGAACACGGGAGUGGCUGCUCUACCGCUGCCUCCAUCGGUUAGUUUUUACAUGUGUUAUUGUUUAAUUUUGGUGUUUUAAACAGGUUGGUUCAGUUUCAGAACUGACCAAGCUUCGAUGGCAAAUGAAAGCCAUGAGAUGUGGCUGAAAGCUCCAGAAGACAUCAAGUGUCAAACCACUAUUGGCAAGGGUGAGAAUGAACCCUCAGUUAUAUUCACAGAUGUAUCCAACUCUAUUUGAGAAAAGCAAAAAAAGAUGUCCGCAGCAAUGAGUUCCAAUGAAGUUCUCCUUGAACGCAGCAUUCACUGUAGCACUUAUGUAAAUAUGACAUUACAAGACCUUUUUAAUUUCUUCUUUUUGCAACUAAUGUAUAGACUUUUUUCAAAUCUUUUUUUAAAUGUUGGUAUUCACAAAAAAAUUGCAGUGACAAAUCUCUACUACAGGCCCAAAACCAUGAUGUUAAAUGGUAGUUUAAAGUUGAUAUGAACAGGGUCUUAAUUGUGCUCCUUAAUAUGAAUGUACAGACAUUAAAUCUGUGGUUUUGAGUUGACCAACUGUGAGGUGGAUGUUAAAAUAGCCGUCCACAUUUUGCUCGUAUACACAACAAUGACCUGAGACACAGAUUUCAAUGCAGUCAGUACCUUAGUGAAAAACUGGAAACAUCCACCUGCAGUCAGUCUUCUACGUCAGCUGGAGCUCAAACACCUGAAAGGCAUCAAAACAAAAAGAGAAACUGUACUCUAGUCAGGUUGUAGACAAUGACACUAAAUUUGUAUUGUUUGCCAGAGCGACCAAAACUAAAUGUGAAUGUAAAUAAGCAGGUGGUUUUGUCUGUAAAUAUGUGAAAUAAAGACACUGCAGGAGG
Long non-coding RNA from Etheostoma spectabile (orangethroat darter), 3105 nucleotides. RefSeq lists it as uncharacterized. The record is from RefSeq and is a predicted model, not a curated record. The transcript is spliced from 2 exons. Lineage: Eukaryota; Metazoa; Chordata; Actinopteri; Perciformes; Percidae.